GGGGAGAUUCAGGUAGAGACCAGACCAGACCAGACCAUGUGAGUCAGUGGGGAGAUUCAGGUAGAGACCAGACCAGACCAUGUGACUCAGUGGGGAGAUUCAGGUAGAGACCAGACCAGACCAUGUGACUCAGUGGGGAGAUUCAGGUAGAGACCAGGCCAGACCAUGUGACUCAGUGGGGAGAUUCAGGUAGAGACCAGACCAGACCAUGUGACUCAGUGGGGAGAUUCAGGUAGAGACCAGACCAGACCAUGUGGCUCAGUGGGGAGAUUCAGGUAGAGACCAGACCAGACCAUACCAUGUGACUCAGUUGGGAGAUUCAGGUAGAGACCAGGCCAGACCAUGUGACUCAGUGGGGAGAUUCAGGUAGAGACCAGACCAGACAAUGUGACUCAGUGGGGAGAUUCAGGUAGAGACCAGACCAUGUGACUCAGUGGGGAGAUUCAGGUAGAGGCCAGACCAUGUGACUCAGUGGGGAGAUUCAGGUAGAGACCAGACCAUGUGAGUCAGUGGGGAGAUUCAGGUAGAGACCAGACCAGACCAGACCAUGUGACUCAGUGGGGAGAUUCAGGUAGAGACCAGACCAGACCAUGUGACUCAGUGGGGAGAUUCAGGUAGAGACCAGACCAGACCAGACCAUGUGAGUCAGUGGGGAGAUUCAGGUAGAGAACAGACCAGACCAUGUGAGUCAGUGGGGAGAUUCAGGUAGAGACCAGACCAGACCAGACCAGACCAUGUGAGUCAGUGGGGAGAUUCAGGUAGAGACCAGACCAGACCAGACCAGACCAUGUGAGUCAGUGGGGAGAUUCAGGUAGAGACCAGACCAUGUGAGUCAGUGGGGAGAUUCAGGUAGAGACCAGACCAGACACCAGACACGACUUAAAGUGGAUUGUUUGUUAAAAGUCCCCCAGAUAGAACAGGGAGCAACAGCAACAUAUUCUCUAGAUAGAACAGGGAGAACUACCAAUACGUCUUCAGAAACAUGUCACAUGUCUUAAGUAGCACCACUCGUCAGGAGACACG
Molecule: long non-coding RNA, 1023 nt
Organism: Oncorhynchus tshawytscha (Chinook salmon)
Lineage: Eukaryota; Metazoa; Chordata; Actinopteri; Salmoniformes; Salmonidae
Source: Ensembl